Molecule: long non-coding RNA, 844 nt
Organism: Panthera uncia (snow leopard)
Lineage: Eukaryota; Metazoa; Chordata; Mammalia; Carnivora; Felidae
Exons: 3
Source: RefSeq, a predicted model, not a curated record
CAGGGCAUAGAUACUGGGAGGCGAGGAUCCUGGGGGAAGGAGGAGGAGCUGGGAGACUGGAUCACAGCAGCAGCCCGGAACUCCAGAGCCGGCCUUGUUUGCCAUGCUGACGACGCAGAAUAAACGAGACAUCAAACAUCCAGGGUUGGUUGCUGCCUCCGCCUUGGAGCAUUUGGUGACCUCCCUGGGGACGAUGCCCCUGCUCCCUCCGAAACGCCCACCCGUGGCUGGCCGAGCUCACAGAGCAGCGCGAGGAGAUCCGUUACAGAGCCCUCACGUCCACGUUCAUCAACCACCCGGGGCAGAAACGCUUUGUUCUGAACAACGAUGCUGCUUGCCUGCUGUGUCGUGUGGGGUCCCGCCUCCCACCCUCCUGUCCACAGUGUUUGCGCUGAGCCAUCCAGGCCCCGUAGGCCGUGGCUAGAAACAGGGCCACCCACCCCAGCCCAGGGCCGGACCUCCUCACCCGGGCUCCCUGUAGACGCCCAACAGCCAUAGGCAACCCAGUGGACACAGGUGAAGAGUCAGACGCAGGGCACCGCCGAAAAUGAUGUCACAACUGACGGUAAAUUGGAGAAGGGAGGACCAAGCCCCGCCUCGCACCCUAGUUCUCCGGCAGGUGAGGCAUCUCCUGCUUGGUUUCCACCUCCUUAGGGAUGCCGGUUGUACUGGGGAAAUAAACGUUCGAUUGAUUUUGUUGUCUCUAAACUGUUGGUAUCUUGGCUGAGUGAUCGCAGUUGUCAUGGCAGCGAGCACCGUUUCAUUAUCAUCUGUGGCCUUUUCCCCUCCCCCUAGGAAGCGUCUGGCAUGAUUCUGGUCCGCCACCCUAAUUCUGUCCCUUAUC